This 497-nucleotide ribosomal RNA is filed under the name uncultured bacterium. RNAcentral's name for it is "partial 16S ribosomal RNA". It matches the Rfam family "Bacterial small subunit ribosomal RNA", at positions 28 to 507 of the family's 1533-position model. The record is from RNAcentral.
GAUGAACGCUGGCGGCGUGCCUAAUACAUGCAAGUCGAACGAACAGACGAGGAGUUUGCUCCUCGGACGUUAGCGGCGGACGGGUGAGUAACACGUGGAUCACCUACCUAUAAGACUGGGAUAACUUCGGGAAACCGGAGAUAAUACCGGAGAAUAUCUUGAACCGCAUGGUGCAAUAGUGAAAGACGGAGUUGCUGUCUCUUAUAGAUGGAUCUGCGCCGCAUUAGCUAGUUGGUAAGGUAACGGCUUAUCAAGGCAACGAUGCGUAGGCGACCUGAGAGGGUGAUCGACCACCCUGGAGCUGAGACACGGUCCAGACUCCUGCGGGAGGCAGCAGUAGGGAAUCUGACGCAAUAGGCGGGAGCCUGACACAACGGCGCCGAGCGAGUGAUGAAAGUCUUGCGGUCGUAAUACCCUCUUCUUAGGGGAAAACAGAUGUGUAAUUAGCUGUACACGUAUUGACGGUACCGAAUCAGGAAGCCACGGCUAACUACGUG